RNAcentral lists this ribosomal RNA (440 nucleotides) under uncultured bacterium. Its description in RNAcentral is "partial 16S ribosomal RNA". It matches the Rfam family "Bacterial small subunit ribosomal RNA", at positions 338 to 795 of the family's 1533-position model. The record is from RNAcentral.
CCUACGGGAGACAGCAGUGGGGGAUAUUGCACAAUGGGGGGAACCCUGAUGCAGCGACGCCGCGUGGGUGAAGAAGCGCCUCUGCGCGUUAAGCCCUGUCAGCAGGGGAGAAAAUGACGGUACGUGAAGAGGAAGCCCCGGCUAACUACGUGCCAGCAGCCGCGGGAAUCCGGCGGGGGGCAGCGGUAUCCCGAUUUAUUGGGGGGAAAGGGGGCGCAGACGGGGAUGCAAGCCAGGAGGGAAAGCCCGGGGCCCAACCCCCGGACUGCCCUUGGAACUGCGUGGCUGGAGUGGAGGAGGGGCAGGCGGAAUUCGCGGUGUAGCGGUGAAAUGCGUAGAUAUCAGGAAGAACACCGGUGGCGAAGGCGGCCUGCUGGACUGAAACUGACGUUGAGGCCCGAAAGCGUGGGGAGCAAACAGGAUUAGAUACCCCAGUAGUC